AUUGAACGCUGGCGGCAUGCUUUACACAUGCAAGUCGAACGGCAGCACGGGCUUCGGCCUGGUGGCGAGUGGCGAACGGGUGAGUAAUAUAUCGGAACGUACCCAGAAGUGGGGGAUAACGUAGCGAAAGUUACGCUAAUACCGCAUACGAUCUAUGGAUGAAAGCAGGGGACCGCAAGGCCUUGUGCUCCUGGAGCGGCCGAUAUCUGAUUAGCUAGUUGGUGAGGUAAAGGCUCACCAAGGCGACGAUCAGUAGCUGGUCUGAGAGGACGACCAGCCACACUGGAACUGAGACACGGCCCAGACUCCUACGGGAGGCAGCAGGGGGGAAUUUUGGACAAGGGGGGCAAGCCUGAUCCAGCAAUGCCGGGUGAGUGAAGAAGGCCUGCGGGUUGUAAAGCUUUUUUGGAAGGAAAGAAACGGGAGAGGCAAAUAUCCUUUGCUAAUGACGGUACCGGAAGAAGAAGCACCGGCUAACUACGUG
RNAcentral lists this ribosomal RNA (484 nucleotides) under uncultured bacterium. RNAcentral describes it as "partial 16S ribosomal RNA". It matches the Rfam family "Bacterial small subunit ribosomal RNA", at positions 29 to 507 of the family's 1533-position model. The record is from RNAcentral.